This 1086-nucleotide long non-coding RNA is filed under the name Macaca fascicularis (crab-eating macaque). RNAcentral's name for it is "lncRNA (ENSMFAG00000053061.1)". The record is from RNAcentral. Lineage: Eukaryota; Metazoa; Chordata; Mammalia; Primates; Cercopithecidae.
AUGCCUGUUUUCUCUUUUCAGUUGGAGAGAGGCGAUUUCCUCUCAGAAGAGUGGAGGGAGCGAAUCGCCAACACGAGGUAUGGCCGGCAUGGGGCGUGCGGGGCAUGUGGGGUAUAUGCUCACGGGCGGGCAGUGGCCAUGGCACUGGAGUCCGGGAACGGCCCCUCACUCCUGCGCUGGCUGUGUCAGGAAAGAGGCCGGUGGGGACAGGAAGGGCGCCUUUCCCUCACCCUGGGUCUCCCUCUGAGGGUGCGCAAAGCGGACAUGCCCAGCAGAUGUGCCCAGCAGAGCCCCUGUCAGCCCCUGCAGACCCUGCUGGCAGUGAGCCUGUUCCUGCUGCCCUAUCCCCUUGACUUUCUCGCCUGGGUUCCUGGGCCUCCUCCCCGCUCAGGCUUGGUCUGGGGGUCUUCCUGUCUCCGUGCGUCCCUCCUGGAGUGGCUGGCCCCCACACAGUGUGCACAAUGGUCCCAAGCCAUCUUGGCCCCCUCCUUGGCUCCAGGCCCAGGAGCUCAGGGCACUGUCCAGGUCCCUCCCCACUGCCACCUGUUUGUCCUGGUGGCUACCUUGUGCCUGUCCUUCCUUGCCAGCCUGCCUCUUCCCUUCCAGCCCUCCCCCCCUGUCCUCCCUCCAUUCCCUCCUUCCUCCACCAUUCUCUCAUCCUCUCCACCUUCAUUCCAUCCCUCGUCCUCCCUGCCUCUCAUCUUCCCCACACCCCUCCUUCUCUCUGCAUUCCUCUUCUUCCCCAUGCCCCUUGUCCUCCCCGCACCCCUUGUCCUCCCUGCCCCCUCGCUCCUGCUGUCUUCCCUGUGCUUUUCUUCCUCUCGGGUGUGCUCAUGGCUUAUGGUUAAGUGUCCCCCAUGGAAAGGGUUUGGGGUACAAGUAGAAAAUGGGGGUUUUUUUUCCCAAAAGGUUCCUAGGUUUGCUCUUCUGUGUGAACUUCUAUUUGGGUUGGGGCACUGUGCCCACCGGCGGGUGUUCUGCCAUCUGGAGGGCAUCAUGCUGACCCUGUGGUAUCCCCAUCCCAUGGAGUGGUGGUGGGAGCACAGGGGGACCUGCAGUGGUCAGGCCGUGAUUGCUGUCUUGUAA